RNAcentral lists this signal recognition particle RNA (302 nucleotides) under Tetranychus urticae (two-spotted spider mite). RNAcentral's name for it is "Metazoan signal recognition particle RNA". It matches the Rfam family "Metazoan signal recognition particle RNA". Rfam says of the family: The signal recognition particle (SRP) is a universally conserved ribonucleoprotein. It is involved in the co-translational targeting of proteins to membranes. The eukaryotic SRP consists of a 300-nucleotide 7S RNA and six proteins: SRPs 72, 68, 54, 19, 14, and 9. Lineage: Eukaryota; Metazoa; Arthropoda; Arachnida; Trombidiformes; Tetranychidae. The record is from Rfam by way of RNAcentral.
GCUGGGAAUGGUGGCGCAUUCCUGUAACUCCAGUGACUUGGAGAGCUUAGGUCGGUGGACGAGUGGCUGGCAGGGUCACUGGGUGUUGUAAGGCUAUGUUGAUCGGACGUCCGCACUAAGCUCUGCGUCAAUAUGGUCACCUUGGGAGAACCUUGGGUGACCAGGUUGAUUUAAUGAGAAGUGUAACGGCUCAGGACGGAAACGUAGCAGGCAAAAGCUUCCGCGUUGAGUAGUAGUGGGAUCGCGUCUGUGAGUAGUCAACAGCAUCUAGCCUGUCCGGUCCAUUUGGACCCGAACCUUUU